CAUGUACUGGGGUGUGCGUUAUCGACUAUUUUUGAACCUACAACAUUAAUACGAGAACCCGCGAUUGUUUUUGGAUGUCAUGCCUCUAUAAGUGGACGGCAGAAGAAAGCAAUAGGGUACUCACCUAGUCAACCGCUAGGGCGUCAAUAAUGAGAGACGGCACCUUGGUAUUGAG
This 175-nucleotide non-coding RNA is filed under the name Eubacteriaceae bacterium. RNAcentral's name for it is "6S RNA". It matches the Rfam family "6S / SsrS RNA". From Rfam's summary of the family: E. coli 6S RNA was the first non coding RNA to be sequenced, but its function was unknown until recently. The record is from RNAcentral. Lineage: Bacteria; Bacillati; Bacillota; Clostridia; Eubacteriales; Eubacteriaceae.